GGCUAGAUGGCCGAGUGGUUAUGGCGUGUGACUCAAGCUUAUUAAGCUUGAUCUGGCUACAGAUCAAAAAUUCUCAUGGGGAAACCCGCGGGGGUUCGAAUCCCCCUCUAGUCA
Molecule: transfer RNA, 114 nt
Filed under: Erysiphe necator (grape powdery mildew)
Lineage: Eukaryota; Fungi; Ascomycota; Leotiomycetes; Helotiales; Erysiphaceae
Rfam family: tRNA
About the family: Transfer RNA (tRNA) molecules are approximately 80 nucleotides in length. Their secondary structure includes four short double-helical elements and three loops (D, anti-codon, and T loops). Further hydrogen bonds mediate the characteristic L-shaped molecular structure. tRNAs have two regions of fundamental functional importance: the anti-codon, which is responsible for specific mRNA codon recognition, and the 3' end, to which the tRNAs corresponding amino acid is attached (by aminoacyl-tRNA synthetases). tRNAs cope with the degeneracy of the genetic code in two manners: having more than one tRNA (with a specific anti-codon) for a particular amino acid; and 'wobble' base-pairing, i.e. permitting non-standard base-pairing at the 3rd anti-codon position.
Source: Rfam by way of RNAcentral